AGUGAACGCUGGCGGUAGGCCUAACACAUGCAAGUCGAACGGCAGCACAGGAGAGCUUGCUCUCUGGGUGGCGAGUGGCGGACGGGUGGGGAAUACAUCGGAAUCUACUCUGUCGUGGGGGAUAACGUAGGGAAACUUACGCUAAUACCGCAUACGACCUACGGGUGAAAGCAGGGGAUCUUCGGACCUUGCGCGAUUGAAUGAGCCGAUGUCGGAUUAGCUAGUUGGCGGGGGAAAGGCCCACCAAGGCGACGAUCCGUAGCUGGUCCGAGAGGAUGAACAGCCACACUGGAACUGAGACACGGUCCAGACUCCUACGGGAGGCAGCAGUGGGGAAUAUUGGACAAUGGGCGCAAGCCUGAUCCAGCCAUACCGCGUGGGUGAAGAAGGCCUUCGGGUUGUAAAGCCCUUUUGUUGGGAAAGAAAUCCAGCUGGCUAAUACCCGGUUGGGAUGACGGUACCCAAAGAAUAAGCACCGGCUAACUUCGUGUCAGCAGCCGCCGUAA
This 506-nucleotide ribosomal RNA is filed under the name uncultured bacterium. RNAcentral's name for it is "partial 16S ribosomal RNA". It matches the Rfam family "Bacterial small subunit ribosomal RNA", at positions 29 to 523 of the family's 1533-position model. The record is from RNAcentral.